GAUGAACGCUGGCGGCGUGCCUAAUACAUGCAAGUCGAGCGAAUGGAUUAAGAGCUUGCUCUUAUGAAGUUAGCGGCGGACGGGUGAGUAACACGUGGGUAACCUGCCCAUAAGACUGGGAUAACUCCGGGAAACCGGGGCUAAUACCGGAUAACAUUUUGAACCGCAUGGUUCGAAAUUGAAAGGCGGCUUCGGCUGUCCCUUCUGGAUGGACCCGCGUCGCAUUAGCUAGUUGGUGAGGUAACGGCUCACCAAGGCAACGAUGCGUAGCCGACCUGAGAGGGUGAUCGGCCACACUGGGACUGAGACACGGCCCAGACUCCUACGGGAGGCAGCAGUAGGGAAUCUUCCGCAAUGGACGAAAGUCUGACGGAGCAACGCCGCGUGAGUGAUGAAGGCUUUCGGGUCGUAAAACUCUGUUGUUAGGGAAGAACAAGUGCUGUUGAAUAAGCUGGCACCUUGACGGUACCUAACCAGAAAGCCACGGCUAACUACGUGCCAGCCGCCGCGGUAA
This 514-nucleotide ribosomal RNA is filed under the name uncultured bacterium. RNAcentral's name for it is "partial 16S ribosomal RNA". It matches the Rfam family "Bacterial small subunit ribosomal RNA", at positions 28 to 523 of the family's 1533-position model. The record is from RNAcentral.